AGCAGCCGCGGUAAUUCCAGCUCCAAUAGCGUAUAUUAAAGUUGUUGCAGUUAAAAAGCUCGUAGUUGAAGUUCGGGGUUAGUAGGUUGGUCAUGCCUCUGGUAUGUACUGGUCUCACUGAUUCCUCCUUCCUGAUGAGCCGUAAUGCCAUUAAUUUGGUGUUGCGGGGAAUUUGGACUGUUACUUUGAAAAAAUUAGAGUGUUUAAAGCAAGCUAACGCUUGAAUACAUUAGCAUGGAAUAAUGAAAUAGGACGUUCGAUCCUAUUUUGUUGGUUUCUAGGAUUGACGUAGUGAUUAAUAGGGAUAGUUGGGGGACAUUAGUAUUCAAUUGUCAGAGGUGGAAUUCUUGGAUUUAUUGAGGACUAACUACUGCGAAAGCAUUUGCCAAGGAUGUUUUCAUUAAUCAAGAACGAAAGUUAGGGGAUCGAAGACGAUCAGAUACCGUCGUAGUCUUAACCAUAAACUAUGCCGACUAGGGAUCGGAUGAUGUUAAUUUUUUAAUGACUCAUUCGGCGCCUU
Molecule: ribosomal RNA, 520 nt
Filed under: uncultured Glomus
Lineage: Eukaryota; Fungi; Glomeromycota; Glomeromycetes; Glomerales; Glomeraceae
Description: SSU rRNA
Rfam family: Eukaryotic small subunit ribosomal RNA
Source: RNAcentral